CCUACGGGGUGCAGCAGUGAGGAAUAUUGGUCAAUGGGCGCGAGCCUGAACCAGCCAAGUCGCGUGAGGGAAGACGGCCCUACGGGUUGUAAACCUCUUUUGUCGGGGAGCAAAGCGAGUCACGUGUGACUCAUUGAGAGUACCCGAAGAAAAAGCAUCGGCUAACUCCGUGCCAGCAGCCGCGGUAAUACGGAGGAUGCGAGCGUUAUCCGGAUUUAUUGGGUUUAAAGGGUGCGCAGGCGGAGGUGCAAGUCAGCGGUCAAAUUGCGGGGCUCAACCCCGUACUGCCGUUGAAACUGCAUCCCUUGAGUGCGCGAGAAGUAUGCGGAAUGCGUGGUGUAGCGGUGAAAUGCAUAGAUAUCACGCAGAACUCCGAUUGCGAAGGCAGCAUACCGGCGCGCAACUGACGCUCAUGCACGAAAGCGUGGGUAUCGAACAGGAUUAGAUACCCUUGUGUC
Molecule: ribosomal RNA, 458 nt
Filed under: uncultured bacterium
Lineage: Bacteria
Description: partial 16S ribosomal RNA
Rfam family: Bacterial small subunit ribosomal RNA
Source: RNAcentral